This 164-nucleotide ribosomal RNA is filed under the name Onobrychis viciifolia (common sainfoin). RNAcentral describes it as "5.8S ribosomal RNA". It matches the Rfam family "5.8S ribosomal RNA". From Rfam's summary of the family: 5.8S ribosomal RNA (5.8S rRNA) is a component of the large subunit of the eukaryotic ribosome. It is transcribed by RNA polymerase I as part of the 45S precursor that also contains 18S and 28S rRNA. Functionally, it is thought that 5.8S rRNA may be involved in ribosome translocation. The record is from RNAcentral. Lineage: Eukaryota; Viridiplantae; Streptophyta; Magnoliopsida; Fabales; Fabaceae. RNAcentral also lists the same sequence under 2 other names.
UAAACGACUCUCGGCAACGGAUAUCUAGGCUCUUGCAUCGAUGAAGAACGUAGCGAAAUGCGAUACUUGGUGUGAAUUGCAGAAUCCCGUGAACCAUCGAGUUUUUGAACGCAAGUUGCGCCCAAAGCCAUUAGGUUGAGGGCACGUCUGCCUGGGCGUCACAU